This 253-nucleotide ribosomal RNA is filed under the name uncultured bacterium. RNAcentral's name for it is "partial 16S ribosomal RNA". It matches the Rfam family "Bacterial small subunit ribosomal RNA", at positions 524 to 776 of the family's 1533-position model. The record is from RNAcentral.
UACGGGGGGGGCAAGCGUUGUUCGGAAUUACUGGGCGUAAAGGGCUCGUAGGUGGCCAACUAAGUCAGACGUGAAAUCCCUCGGCUUAACCGGGGAACUGCGUCUGAUACUGGAUGGCUUGAGUUCGGGAGAGGGAUGCGGAAUUCCAGGUGUAGCGGUGAAAUGCGUAGAUAUCUGGAGGAACACUGGUGGCGAAGGCGGCAUCCUGGACCGACACUGACACUGAGGAGCGAAAGCCAGGGGAGCAAACGGG